This 253-nucleotide ribosomal RNA is filed under the name uncultured bacterium. RNAcentral's name for it is "partial 16S ribosomal RNA". It matches the Rfam family "Bacterial small subunit ribosomal RNA", at positions 524 to 776 of the family's 1533-position model. The record is from RNAcentral.
UACAGGGGGUGCAAGCGUUAAUCGGAAUUACUGGGCGGAAAGCGUGCGUAGACGGUCAUGUAAGUCGGGUGUGAAAGCCCCGGGCUCAACCUGGGAAUUGCAUUCGAGACUGCAUGGCUAGGGUGCGGAAGAGGGAAGCGGAAUUUCCGGUGUAGCGGUGAAAUGCGUAGAUAUCGGAAGGAACACCAGUGGCGAAAGCGGCUUCCUGGUCCAGCACCGACGUUCAGGCACGAAAGCGUGGGGAGCAAACAGG